This 246-nucleotide long non-coding RNA is filed under the name Trifolium pratense (red clover). Its description in RNAcentral is "long non-coding RNA (TPRA_LNC004384)". Lineage: Eukaryota; Viridiplantae; Streptophyta; Magnoliopsida; Fabales; Fabaceae. The record is from RNAcentral.
AGUUUAUUGAGGGCUUCAAACUAAUACUAUCAUAGUGGAUUCACUCCUGGAUUGGUAUCCCCCAGAGUAGGCUUAUGCUGAACUGGGUUAACAAAUUACUGUGUUAAUUUAUUUUCAGUUUGUUAGGUUUAUUAUUCAUUUUGUAUGCGAUGUUGGAUGUUGGAUCAUUGGUUCACGCAUUAAAAGUGUAUUACAGUGGUGAAGCGUUGAGUACAACAUCCUAACACUAGUGUGCCAGAAUUUCAA